Mesoplodon densirostris (Blainville's beaked whale) is the source of this 2157-nucleotide long non-coding RNA. RefSeq lists it as uncharacterized. The record is from RefSeq and is a predicted model, not a curated record. Lineage: Eukaryota; Metazoa; Chordata; Mammalia; Artiodactyla; Ziphiidae. The transcript is spliced from 4 exons.
CACAGAGCCCGGCACCCAGCAGAGCUCACAGAAUGUCAGUGUUCUUCAGCAGAGAAGAAUCUUAGGAAACCAGGUGCCAGGGUUCUCCAGAGGGAGCUCUCAGCUUCAAAGGAAAUGUUACUCUGAACUCCCAGGUGCUUAAUCCCUAGAACAGGUCACGGGCCAUUAGUCAGGCCAGCUUGGUUCUUGCUACUCAAGACCUAAGCCUCAGACCAGCAGAUGACAUCACCCGGGAGCAGCCUUAAAACGAAGACUCUUAGGCCCCAUCCUAGAUCAGCUGAAUCAGAAUCUGCAUCGUAACAAGAUUUCUGGGUGAUUCACAUGCAUAUUAAAACUUGAGAAGUACUGUUUUAAGUUAUCCCCUGUUAUGGACCGAAUGUUUGUGUCCACCCAAAAUACGUAUGUUGAAUCCCUACUCCCUCAGUGUGAUGGCAUUAGGAGGUGAGGCCUUUGGGAGGUAAUUAGGACUAGAUGAGGUCAUGAGGGUGGAGCCUUCAUGAAUGGGAUUAGUGCCCUUAUAAGAGCUACCAGAGAGCUUGCUUCCUCUGCUCUGCUCUCUGCCAUGUGAGGAUAUAAGAAGUCAGCCGUCUGCAACCCAGAAGAGGGCUCUCAUCAGAAGCCUAUGAUGCUGGCACCCUGAUUUUGGACUUCCAGCCUCCAAUGCUGUGAGAAAUACAUGUCUGCUGUUUAUAAGUCACCAGUUUAUGGUAUUUUGUUAUAGCAGCCCAAGCUAAGACAUCCUCUUAAUUAAUCUUCUAUGGUUAGAGAAGAAAGGGGCUUGGAGAUCACCUAGUUAAAACGGGCAUCUCAGAAAGGUGAGGUAACUUGCCUAGAGCCAGUCCAGGGCAGAGCCCAGACGAGGCUUUCAGUCUGCAGACGCUGAGACUGGUCUGGCGUAAGUGGUGCCUCCAGUGGCACAGAAGGUGGCAGUUUUGACCCCGCCUCGAGAUACAGCCACAGGGGACUUUGGAAGAGGGAGAUUCUGUUUCGUUUGGAAUAUUGUUGGGGGCUUUGCAUCCCAGUGACUUGGAUGACCUCAGUGGAAGAUAAAGAUGUGAUAGAGGAAAAUACAGAAGCGUAUUCUUCUCACCCUUGAUCACCUCUGCACGCCCCUGCCCUUUGAACUCAGAAUGCUUCAGCUUACCUCUCCCUGACUGAAUGAGAAGAUGGUAUUUCAAUCAACAUACAUCUAUUGAGCACCUAUUGUGUGCACUCUGGCGGGAUCUCAGUUCCCUGACCAGGGAUCAAACCCGUGCCCCCUGAAGUAGAAGCACAGAGUCUUAACCACUUAACUACUGGACCGCCAGGGAAGUCCCUCAUUCUUGAAAUUGAGAAAACAGAUGCCUGGAACAAGCUGGAAUUUCCAGGAAAAACAUCCAAGCUCAGUUCAAGCCCCUGUGGGAUGACUGCACUGAUGCCAUCUUCAAUGCGUCUUCCUUUCCCCCUCUGGCUGGCAUGGCUCCUUGUCUGCAGCCUCACUGACUGCAGCUUUGCCUUGGAGAGCAGACUGUCUUUGUGAAUGACUCGCUCAGGGAGCAUGUGCAGGACGAGCCCAGAGCCUCCCUCCAUGGGAACGUGAGAGGAGAAGCUGAAGAAUGGGCUGAGAGCAGCAGCUGAAUGGAACGGGUCAUGCUGCUUCUUGAGGCUGAAAAGGCCAAUCCUGUAAAGGAGUCGAUGAGAGCACCUCAUUGGGUUUCACCCCUCGGGCCCUGUGUGUGCAGAGAGGGCUGGGAAACACUGCUCUGCACGUGAGCGGGGGCAGUGAGACUCCGGGGCUGCUCUCCAGACACACUUAUCCACCUAUCUGUUUCAUUCAAUUUUAUUUGUACAAAAGGUCGGUUGAGGCAACGGCAGACUAAGCCUUUAGAGACCAUGGGCUAUGCAAAUAGAACCUUAAUGGAAGAUUAAAUCAGCCGAAGUCCCCCUCAGUGCUUUUCCAUUUGUGGGACUGGAACUGGCAGUAGGAGGGGAUGAAUCACUCUUACUAUAUUUGAAUGGCUUCUUUACAAAAAUAGCAGGCACUAUAAUAAAGCAGCCCCAGAAAUACCUAGUAACAAACAAUAAAAAUACCUUCCUAUAAAGAGAAUGAACAUGAUAUUAUGGUCAUGGUUAAAAAGCAAGCAUGAUAAAUCAAGGCACCAACUAUGGGGGUCCCCU